Molecule: ribosomal RNA, 206 nt
Filed under: uncultured bacterium
Lineage: Bacteria
Description: partial 16S ribosomal RNA
Rfam family: Bacterial small subunit ribosomal RNA
Source: RNAcentral
GACGAACGCUGGCGGCGUGCUUAACACAUGCAAGUCGAGCGACUGCAUUCUUUUCGGAGGGUGUAUGGAGCGGCGAACGGGUGAGUAACACGUGAGCAAUCUGCCUUUGGCUUGGGAAUAACUUCGGGAAAUCGGGGCUAAUGCCUGAUGUUUACUGUCUGCUGCAUGGUGGGUGGUGGAAAGAUUUUUUGGUCGACGGAGUGAGC